UACGUAGGGUGCGAGCGUUAAUCGGAAUUACUGGGCGUAAAGCGUGCGUAGGCGGUUCGUUAAGUCAGCUGUGAAAGCCCCGGGCUCAACCUGGGAAUUGCGGUUGAAACUGGCGAACUAGAAUCUGGCAGAGGGGGGUGGAAUUCCACGUGUAGCAGGUGAAAUGCGUAGAGAUGUGGAGGAACACCGAUGGCGAAGGCAGCCCCCCUGGGCUGAGAUUGACGCUCAGGCACGAAAGCGUGGGGAGCAAACAGG
This 255-nucleotide ribosomal RNA is filed under the name uncultured bacterium. RNAcentral describes it as "partial 16S ribosomal RNA". It matches the Rfam family "Bacterial small subunit ribosomal RNA", at positions 524 to 776 of the family's 1533-position model. The record is from RNAcentral.